RNAcentral lists this long non-coding RNA (1275 nucleotides) under Chinchilla lanigera (long-tailed chinchilla). RNAcentral's name for it is "lncRNA (ENSCLAG00000027598.1)". Lineage: Eukaryota; Metazoa; Chordata; Mammalia; Rodentia; Chinchillidae. The record is from RNAcentral.
GACCUGGGGGCGGAGCCGGCCUCUGACCCCGCCCCUAGGCCCCGCCCCUAGGCCCCGCCCCGCCCCCGACGGGGCGCACGGGCGGCCUCUCCCAAGGGCGGCGGAAGCGGAACAGCCGAGGGCGGUUUACGGGAGGUGGAGCCGCGAGUCACCGCUGUGCGGGCGUCCAGGGGUCCCGCCCAGACGGCCGGACGUCUGGGCCCAGGGAAGGGGACGAGGCCACCAGGCUAUGAGAAAGAAGGCCGAAGCCACCCAUAAACUUGGAGCGCGUGGAUUUGGAGGAGGCAGAGCCCGGUGCCCUUGGCCCCCGCAGGAGGCGGCAGAGGAAAUGAGCUCACGCUGACCGGCAGGCUGUCCUCCCCCACAGUGCGCGGCACACCUCCCCCACUUCCCAGAAAGCGGCCCCCCACCCUCCGCCCUCCACCUCUUCCUGCGCCUUCGCUGCCCCCCUGCCCGCUCACCGUCCACCUUCUCCAGCCCCUCCUUCCUGCCACUGCUGCCCCGCUCCCAAUGCCCACCCCCUAUAUCCUGCUGUCACCCCAAAACUGCUUCACCCCUGUGUGUUCUUUCCCUGGGGCUUGGGGCUGAGAGCCGGGCUUGGAGGGGAUGUAUCCUGUCCCGGCCCCUAGCCUGGUCACCUGCCUUCAUUCACAGUGCUUCUGGGGAGCCCUAAUAGAGCCCGCGGAGUCCAGGGGAGCAGGCCAGGGCCCUGCUGCAAGGGACAUCACAUGGACAGGCAUGCGAGAUGCAGGGGUGGAGUCCAGGGGACCAAGCUGCUGUGCCUGUGCUCGGGGAGCCCAGAGUACCAGGGCUGAGAAUCAAGGCAGAGGCAGCAUCCUCAGGAGGGAGAGGAGGAGGGAAGGGCGGUGGCCCCAUGCCUGCACCUGCUGCUCAGAGAACAAAGCCAACCAUGAUGCAAUCCUGGCCCGAGCCGGCACUGGCCCGAGGGUGGAGACCGGUGGGCAGCAGAGUGGACACAGGGGCCCGUGGAGCCUGACCCUGGCCUCACAGCCCAGCGUGGGGCUCCAGCAUCCAGGCCCCUGGCCCAGAAGGUGGAGAUCCCAGGCCAAGGGCCAAGGGGAUGAAGCAGCAUUCCUGACAAAGGCGCUGACCUGGCAUCCGGAAGUCACCAUCUCUUCAGCCGUGCCAGCCUGUGGGGAGAUGAGCAGGACACAGGCUCUGUCCUCACAGAGGUCACCGAGGCCGGCAGGCAGACGCAGGCGGGAGAGGCCUCACAGAGGCAAGAGCCACUUGUUGGCCGGAAGUGAACAGUGA